This 283-nucleotide ribosomal RNA is filed under the name uncultured bacterium. RNAcentral describes it as "partial 16S ribosomal RNA". It matches the Rfam family "Bacterial small subunit ribosomal RNA", at positions 518 to 793 of the family's 1533-position model. The record is from RNAcentral.
CGGUAAUACGGAGGGUGCGAGCGUUAAUCGGAAUUACUGGGCGUAAAGCGCAUGCAGGUGGUUUGUUAAGUUCAGAUGUGAAAGACCCGGGGCGUCAACCUCGGAAUUGCAUUUGAAACUAGGCAGACUAGAGUACUGUAGAGGGGGGUAGGAAUUUCAGGUGUAGCGGUGAAAUAGCGUAGAGAUCUGAAGGAAUACCGGUGGCGAAGGCGGCCCCCUCGGACAGAUACUGACACUCAGAUGCGAAAGCGUGGGGAGCAAACAGGAUUAGAUACCCUGGUAG